This 422-nucleotide ribosomal RNA is filed under the name uncultured bacterium. Its description in RNAcentral is "partial 16S ribosomal RNA". It matches the Rfam family "Bacterial small subunit ribosomal RNA", at positions 361 to 775 of the family's 1533-position model. The record is from RNAcentral.
UUUUUCGACAAUGGGGGAAACCCUGAUCCAGCCAUCCCGCGUGAAUGAUGAAGGCCUUCGGGUUGUAAAGUACUUUUGGCAGAGAAGCAAAGGUAUCUCCUAAUACGAGAUACCGCUUACGGUAUCUGCCGCAUAAGCACCGGCUACCUACGUGCCAGCAGUCGCGGUAAUACGUGGGGUGCAAGCGUUAAUCGGAAUUACUGGGCGUAAAGCGUGUGUAGGCGGUUCGGAAAGAAAGAUGUGAAAUCCCAGGGCUCAACCUUGGAACUGCAUUUUUAACUGCCGAGCUAGAGUAUGUCAGAGGGGGGUAGAAUUCCACGUGUAGCAGUGAAAUGCGUAGAUAUGUGGAGGAAUACCGAUGGCGAAGGCAGCCCCCUGGGAUAAUACUGACGCUCAGACACGAAAGCGUGGGGAGCAAACAG